CCUACGGGAGGCAGCAGUAAGGAAUAUUGGUCAAUGGACGCAAGUCUGAACCAGCCAUGCCGCGUGAAGGAUGAAGGCCCUCUGGGUUGUAAACUUCUUUUACAGGGGACGAAAAAAGGGAAUUCUUUCUCACUUGACGGUACCCUGGGAAUAAGCACCGGCUAACUCCGUGCCAGCAGCCGCGGUAAUACGGAGGGUGCAAGCGUUAUCCGGAUUCACUGGGUUUAAAGGGUGCGUAGGUGGGCAUUUAAGUCAGUGGUGAAAUCUCCGGGCUUAACCCGGAAACUGCCAUUGAUACUAUUUGUCUUGAAUAUUGUGGAGGUAAGCGGAAUAUGUCAUGUAGCGGUGAAAUGCUUAGAUAUGACAUAGAACACCCAUUGCGAAGGCAGCUUACUACGCAAAUAUUGACACUGAGGCACGAAAGCGUGGGGAUCAAACAGGAUUAGAUACCCUGGUAGUCCACGCCCUAAACGAUGGAUACUCGACAUCAGCGAUACACAGUUGGUGUCUGAGCGAAAGCAUUAAGUAUCCCACCUGGGAAGUACGACCGCAAGGUUGAAACUUAAAGAGUAGUGACGUGNGAGACGCGACGACGACGACGACGGAGGAGGAGG
RNAcentral lists this ribosomal RNA (614 nucleotides) under uncultured bacterium. Its description in RNAcentral is "bacterial SSU rRNA". It matches the Rfam family "Bacterial small subunit ribosomal RNA", at positions 338 to 956 of the family's 1533-position model. The record is from RNAcentral.